CCCGCAAGGGGAGCGGCGGACGGGUGAGUAACGCGUGGGAAUCUAUCCUGAGGUGAGGGAUAACCCUGGGAAACUAGGGCUAAUACCGCAUGAUGUCUGCGGACCAAAGCCGCAAGGCGCCGCAGGAGGAGCCCGCGUCCGAUUAGCUUGUUGGUGGGGUAACGGCCUACCAAGGCGACGAUCGGUAGCUGGUCUGAGAGGAUGAUCAGCCACACUGGGACUGAGACACGGCCCAGACUCCUACGGGAGGCAGCAGUGGGGAAUUUUCCGCAAUGGGCGAAAGCCUGACGGAGCAACGCCGCGUGAGGGAGGAAGGCUCUUGGGUUGUAAACCUCUUUUCUCAAGGAAGAUAAUGACGGUACUUGAGGAAUCAGCAUCGGCUAACUCCGUGCCAGCAGCCGCGGUAAUACGGAGGAUGCAAGCGUUAUCCGGAAUAAUUGGGCGUAAAGCGUUCGUAGGUGGUGAUGUAAGUCUGCUGUUAAAGCGUGUAGCUUAACUACAUAUAGGCGGUGGAAACUACAUGACUAGAGUGCGUUCGGGGCAGAGGGAAUUCCUGGUGUAGCGGUGAAAUGCGUAGAUAUCAGGAAGAACACCGGUGGCGAAGGCGCUCUGCUAGGCCGCAACUGACACUGAGGGACGAAAGCUAGGGGAGCGAAUGGGAUUAGAUACCCCAGUAGUCCUAGCUGUAAACGAUGGAUACUAGGCGUUGUCUGUAUCGACCCGGACAGUGCCGUAGCUAACGCGUUAAGUAUCCCGCCUGGGGAGUACGCACGCAAGUGUGAAACUCAAAGGAAUUGACGGGGGCCCGCACAAGCGCUGGAGUAUGUGGUUUAAUUCGAUGCAACGCGAAGAACCCUACCAAGGCCUGACAUGUCCGGAAUUUCUUGGAAACGAGAAAGUGCCUUCGGGAACCGGAACAC
Molecule: ribosomal RNA, 920 nt
Filed under: uncultured cyanobacterium
Lineage: Bacteria; Bacillati; Cyanobacteriota
Description: bacterial SSU rRNA
Rfam family: Bacterial small subunit ribosomal RNA
Source: RNAcentral